UACGUAGGUGGCAAGCGUUGUCCGGAUUUAUUGGGCGUAAAGGGGGCGCAGGUGGUUUCUUAAGUCUGAUGUGAGAGCCCACGGCUUAACCGUGGAGGGUCAUUGGAAACUGGAAGACUUGAGUGCGAGAGAGAAGAGUGGAAUUCCAUGUGUAGCGGUGAAAUGCGUAGAGAUAUGGAGGAACACCAGUGGCGAAAGCGGCUCUUUGGCUCGCAACUGACGCUGAGGCGCGAAAGCGUGGGGAGCAAACAGG
This 253-nucleotide ribosomal RNA is filed under the name uncultured bacterium. RNAcentral's name for it is "partial 16S ribosomal RNA". It matches the Rfam family "Bacterial small subunit ribosomal RNA", at positions 524 to 776 of the family's 1533-position model. The record is from RNAcentral.